Molecule: transfer RNA, 70 nt
Filed under: Spilornis cheela (crested serpent eagle)
Lineage: Eukaryota; Metazoa; Chordata; Aves; Accipitriformes; Accipitridae
Description: tRNA-Phe
Source: RNAcentral
GUCCCAGUGGCUUAUAACAAAGCAUGGCACUGAAGAUGCCAAGUUGGCCGCCACAUGUAGCCCAUGGACA